Molecule: non-coding RNA, 53 nt
Organism: Gasterosteus aculeatus (three-spined stickleback)
Lineage: Eukaryota; Metazoa; Chordata; Actinopteri; Perciformes; Gasterosteidae
Source: Rfam
AAUGCACAUAUUGUAAGUCGCUUUGGAUAAAAGCGUCAGCUAAAUGACAUGUA